RNAcentral lists this ribosomal RNA (408 nucleotides) under uncultured bacterium. RNAcentral's name for it is "bacterial SSU rRNA". It matches the Rfam family "Bacterial small subunit ribosomal RNA", at positions 355 to 776 of the family's 1533-position model. RNAcentral also lists the same sequence under 1 other name. The record is from RNAcentral.
UGGGGAAUCUUGCACAAUGGGCGAAAGCCUGAUGCAGCGACGCCGCGUGCGGGAUGAAGGCCUUCGGGUUGUAAACCGCUUUCAGCAGGGACGAGGCGAAAGUGACGGUACCUGCAGAAGAAGCCCCGGCUAACUACGUGCCAGCAGCCGCGGUAAUACGUAGGGGGCAAGCGUUAUCCGGAUUCAUUGGGCGUAAAGCGCUCGUAGGCGGUCUGUUAGGUCGGGAGUUAAAUCCGGGGGCUCAACCCCCGUUCGCUCCCGAUACCGGCAGACUUGAGUUUGGUAGGGGAAGGUGGAAUUCCUAGUGUAGCGGUGGAAUGCGCAGAUAUUAGGAAGAACACCAGUGGCGAAGGCGGCCUUCUGGGCCAUAACUGACGCUGAGGAGCGAAAGCUAGGGGAGCAAACAGG